CCUACGGGAGGCUGCAGUCGAGAAUCAUUCACAAUGGGGGAAACCCUGAUGGUGCGACGCCGCGUGGGGGAAUGAAGGUCUUCGGAUUGUAAACCCCUGUCAUGUGGGAGCAAAUUAAAAAGAUAGUACCACAAGAGAAAGAGACGGCUAACUCUGUGCCAGCAGACGCGGUAAUACAGAGGUCUCAAGCGUUGUUCGGAAUCAAUGGGCGUAACGCGUGCGUAGGCUGUUUAGUAAGUCGUGUGUGAAAGGCGCGGGCUCAACCCGCGGACGGCACAUGAUACUGCGAGACUAGAGUAAUGGAGGGGGAACCGGAAUUCUCGGUGUAGCAGUGAAAUGCGUAGAUAUCGAGAGGAACACUCGUGGCGAAGGCGGGUGCCUGGACAUUAACUGACGCUGAGGCACGAAGGCCAGGGGAGCGAAAGGGAUUAGAGACCCCAGUAGUC
This 446-nucleotide ribosomal RNA is filed under the name uncultured bacterium. RNAcentral's name for it is "partial 16S ribosomal RNA". It matches the Rfam family "Bacterial small subunit ribosomal RNA", at positions 338 to 795 of the family's 1533-position model. The record is from RNAcentral.